RNAcentral lists this ribosomal RNA (421 nucleotides) under uncultured bacterium. Its description in RNAcentral is "partial 16S ribosomal RNA". It matches the Rfam family "Bacterial small subunit ribosomal RNA", at positions 360 to 773 of the family's 1533-position model. The record is from RNAcentral.
AAUAUUGGACAAUGGGGGCAACCCUGAUCCAGCCAUGCCGCGUGUGUGAAGAAGGUCUUCGGAUUGUAAAGCACUUUAAGUUGGGAGGAAGGGCUUUAGGCUAAUACCUUGAAGUUUUGACGUUACUAACGGAAUAAGCACCGCGUACUUUUGUGCCAGAAGCCGCGGUAAUACAGAGGGUGCAAGCGUUAAUUGGAAUUACUGGGCGAAAAGCGCGCGUAGGUGGUUCAGUAAGAUGGGUGUGAAAUCCCCGGGCUUAACCUGGGAACUGCUUUCAUAACUGCUGAGCUAGAGUACGGUAGAGGGUAGUGGAAUUUCCUGUGUAGCGGUGAAAUGCGUAGAUAUAGGAAGGAACACCAGUGGCGAAGGCGACUACCUGGACUGAUACUGACACUGAGGUGCGAAAGCGUGGGGAGCAAAC